This 254-nucleotide ribosomal RNA is filed under the name uncultured bacterium. RNAcentral describes it as "partial 16S ribosomal RNA". It matches the Rfam family "Bacterial small subunit ribosomal RNA", at positions 524 to 776 of the family's 1533-position model. The record is from RNAcentral.
CACGUAGGGUGCGAGCGUUGUCCGGAAUUAUUGGGCGUAAAGAGCUCGUAGGCGGUGUGUCGCGUCGGCCGUGAAAACCUGCAGCUUAACUGUGGGCUUGCGGUCGAUACGGGCAUCACUGGAGUUCGGCAGGGGAGACUGGAAUUCCUGGUGUAGCGGUGAAAUGCGCAGGUAUCAGGAGGAACACCGGUGGCGAAGGCGGGUCUCUGGGCCGAUACUGACGCUGAGGAGCGAAAGCGUGGGGAGCGAACAGG